UUUUUCUUUUUUUUUUCUUUUUUGAGACAAAGUCUUGCCCUGUCGCCCAGGCUGGAGUGCAGUGGCGUGAUCUCAGCUCACUGCAACGUGUCUCCCAGGUUCAAGUGAUUCUCUUGCCUCAGCCUCCCAAGUAGCAUGCCACCAUGCCCAGCUAAUUUUUGUAUUUUUAGUAGAGAUGAGGUUUCACCAUGUUGGCCAGGCUGGUCUUGAACUCCUGACCUCAAGUGAUCCGCUCGCCUUGGCCUCCCAAAGUGCUGGGAUUACAGGCAUGAGCCACCUUGCCCAGCCUGUUUUUUUUCAACAGAGGUGGGGUCUUGCUAUGUUGCCCAGGUUGGUCCCAAACUCCUGGGCUGAAGUAGUCCUCCCGCCUUUGCCUUCCAAAGUGUUGGGAUUGCAGGCGUGAGCCACUGCACCCGGCCAGUAAACAAGCUUUUCAUCGCUCCUGUUACAGAAGGGGAAACUGAGGCUCAGAGCAGGGAGGUGUCUAGGGCCGUGCGGUAGGACAGGAGGAAGCCAGGACUUACACCUAGAUCUGCCGACUUCAAGGCCCAGUUGGACAUGAGGGGGCAGCAGCCAGGUGGCCAGAUACCCAGGUGGCCAGAUACCCAGGGUAGGGAGGACACAAUGGGGCCCACUCCGGUUGCUUUGGGAGCUCCAUGGAGGGGUCAGGCCAGCUGAACUAAGAGGUAGGGAAGGAAGUCCAGGAAGAGGCCCCUGCACAAGCAAAGGCCUACAGGUGAGUCCAAGCAAAUGGACCUCCAGUCUCUGCAGAGGAGGAGUGAGUGGGCUGGCAGGUAGCUCCAGCCUGGGGCCCAGAGGAGGCGCAAAAUGCAGAUGGGGAGGUGCUUAGAGGGAACCUUAGCCCCAGGGAGGGACAGGGAGCCAGGAGAAGGUGGGGGUACUGCAGCUGAGGAGGAGGGGAGGCUGCUGGCCGCAGGGCAUUGAUCAUUUCCCCAGGAGCCCCAGUCUGGGGAGGCAGAGAUGGGCACAAAUUCCCAGCCUAGCCCUGCAGGUUCAGACCUCCUGUGAUGGACAGGGCUAGGGUGACGGAUGGAUGUGCUGUUCUGGAGAAUGGAUCAUCACAGUGGAUAGGAAGGUGCGCUAGGCAUAGGGAACGGCACAUGCAAAGGCUUGGCAGCGGGUAAGCUGCUUGUCAAGGAUUCAAGGUGGCUAUAAGGAUAGGUGCUAUCCACUAAGGGGCCCGAGUGUCAGGUGGAAGCUCUGAGCAUCCUUCAGUCAUGGGGAGCCCCAAGAGGUGUCUGCGCAGGGCGGAGGGGCGCCACAUUCUCGGGUGCCCAACUUACCCACUCCCAGGUCUCUGUUACCCUCGUUCUACAGGUGGGGAAACUGAGGCCCCGAGAGGGGAUGCCCAGGGAACCGCCUGGAUCUGCCUGCCAGCCCGCCCCCACGCCCCGGUGUGCGCGCCCCGGGAGCAGCACUCCCCGAAUCCGGGAGGCGGGAGGGGCGGGGCAGGUAGGGCUGGGGCUCCGCGGGUGAAGGCAGGGCCUGCGCGCUCACACAGACGCGCACUUGGGUCUGCAUGGACCCGACUACCCGGCUAGGGGACCGGAAGUGGGAUCGACCUUCCCCCCGGCCCUCCUGCACCCUAUCCUGCCCCGCACAAUGCCUGGGCGCCCCUCGGUACUAUUCGAAGCCCCAUUCCAGGCAGGGCCUCCCUUCAUUUGGGGCCGCAGCUCCAGUCCGGUAUCUUGGACGCGGGGAAUACCCCUAUUCUGCCCCGACCGUCCCAGGGAGGCUGCACCGCUGCGGAACCGAGCCCGAGGCCCCCCUCUUGCCUGCGGCCCCCCAGUUCCCGCGGGGCCCGACGCAGCCUGGCGCUUGCGUUCUGGCUUCCACCGGGGCCCCGCACUGUCCCCAGGCGCCCCGCGUUUAAGCACACUCCCAGCCGCCCCCGCCACGAGGGCCAGUCAGGACUCACCUGGUCGCGGCCGCCACCGCCGCCGCAGUCGCCGUCACACCAAACCGAGCCCGCCCCGUGGCUCC
Molecule: long non-coding RNA, 2004 nt
Organism: Macaca fascicularis (crab-eating macaque)
Lineage: Eukaryota; Metazoa; Chordata; Mammalia; Primates; Cercopithecidae
Source: Ensembl